GAUUAAGUUAUUAAGGGCGCACGGUGGAUGCCUUGGCACUAGAAGCCGAUGAAGGACGUUACUAACGACGAUAUGCUUUGGGGAGCUGUAAGUAAGCUUUGAUCCAGAGAUUUCCGAAUGGGGAAACCCAGCAUGAGUUAUGUCAUGUUAUCGAUAUGUGAAUACAUAGCAUAUUAGAAGGCACACCCGGAGAACUGAAACAUCUUAGUACCCGGAGGAAGAGAAAGAAAAUUCGAUUCCCUUAGUAGCGGCGAGCGAAACGGGAAGAGCCCAAACCAACAAGCUUGCUUGUUGGGGUUGUAGGACACUCUAUACGGAGUUACAAAGGACGACAUUAGACGAAUCAUCUGGAAAGAUGAAUCAAAGAAGGUAAUAAUCCUGUAGUCGAAAAUGUUGUCUCUCUUGAGUGGAUCCUGAGUACGACGGAGCACGUGAAAUUCCGUCGGAAUCUGGGAGGACCAUCUCCUAAGGCUAAAUACUCUCUAGUGACCGAUAGUGAACCAGUACCGUGAGGGAAAGGUGAAAAGCACCCCGGAAGGGGAGUGAAAUAGAACCUGAAACCGUGUGCUUACAAGUAGUCAGAGCCCGUUAAUGGGUGAUGGCGUGCCUUUU
RNAcentral lists this ribosomal RNA (612 nucleotides) under Staphylococcus aureus. RNAcentral describes it as "partial 23S ribosomal RNA". It matches the Rfam family "Bacterial large subunit ribosomal RNA", at positions 1 to 609 of the family's 2925-position model. The record is from RNAcentral. Lineage: Bacteria; Bacillati; Bacillota; Bacilli; Caryophanales; Staphylococcaceae.